Molecule: long non-coding RNA, 1017 nt
Organism: Eriocheir sinensis (Chinese mitten crab)
Lineage: Eukaryota; Metazoa; Arthropoda; Malacostraca; Decapoda; Varunidae
Exons: 3
Source: RefSeq, a predicted model, not a curated record
UUGGUAGAGUUGAGAUAGAUGGGAGAUCGUGGUUGAGAAGAGAUUGAUAGAAUGGAGAAUUGAUCAGGAAAAUGCUUCAUCUACUAGCCAAAAUAAAACCUUGAGAUCUCUAAAUACAUAAGAAAUUGAGAGUUGAGAUGGAUGGGAGAUCGUGGGUGAGAAGAGAUUGAUCGAAUGGAGAAUUGAUCUGGAAAACACUUUAUCCACUAGCCAAAAUAAAACCUUGAGAUCUCUAAACACAUAAGAAAUUGAUAGAGUUGAGAUGGAUGGGAGAUCGUGGGUGAGAAGAGAUUGACUGAAUGGAGAAUUGAUCUGGAAAAUGCUUUAUCCACUAGCCAAAAUAAAACCUUGAGAUCUCUAAAUACAUAAGAAAUUGGUAGAGUUGAGAUGGAUGGGAGAUCGUGGGUGAGAAGAGAUUGAUAGAAUGGAGAAUUGAUCUGGAAAACGCUUUAUCCACUAGCCAAAAUAAAACCUUGAGAUCUCUAAAUACAUAAGAAAUUGGUAGAGUUGAGAUAGAUGGGAGAUCGUGGUUGAGAAGAGAUUGAUCGAAUGGAGAAUUGAUCUGGAAAAUGCUUUAUCUACUAGCCAAAAUAAAACCUUGAGAUCUCUAAAUACAUAAGAAACUGAGAGAGUUGAGAUGGAUGGGAGAUCGUGGUUGAGAAGAGAUUGAUCGAAUGGAGAAUUGAUCAGGAAAACGCUUUAUCCACUAGCCAAAAUAAAACCUUGAGAUCUCUAAGUACAUAUGAAAUUGGUAGAGUUGAGAUGGAUGGGAGAUCAUGGUUGAGAAGAGAUGGAUAGAAUGGAAAAUUGAUCCGGAAAAUGCUUUAUCCACUAGCCAAAAUAAAACCUUGAGAUCUCUAAAUACAUAAGAAAUUGAGAGUUGAGAUGGAUGGGAGAUCGUGGGUGAGAAGAGAUUGAUCGAAUGGAGAAUUGAUCUGGAAAAUGCUUUAUCUACUAGCCAAAAUAAAACCUUGAGAUCUCUAAAUACAUAAGAAAUUGAGAGUUGAGAUGGAUGGG